Molecule: microRNA precursor, 77 nt
Filed under: Prunus persica (peach)
Lineage: Eukaryota; Viridiplantae; Streptophyta; Magnoliopsida; Rosales; Rosaceae
Description: miR6287 stem-loop (ppe-MIR6287)
Source: miRBase by way of RNAcentral
AUUGAUGGGACAAGAAGUGGAAGUUUUGGGCGGCUUAGGAGCACCAAAACUCAAGUCCAUUUCUUGAGCCUAAAUGU